This 504-nucleotide long non-coding RNA is filed under the name Rattus norvegicus (Norway rat). RNAcentral's name for it is "long non-coding RNA NONRATT023025". The record is from RNAcentral. Lineage: Eukaryota; Metazoa; Chordata; Mammalia; Rodentia; Muridae.
GAGUUGGGUAUAUAGUUAUUUACCAGCGCUUGAAUCAUAUGCACAAACCCAUGGGUAUGAUUCUCAGCACUAAGGAACUCACUAACUCACCAACAGAGGGAGGCACGAGGCUUCGGUUUUGUACCUUUGAGGAUCACUUGCCAGCUUGUAGUCCAGGCUUCUCCACCACUGUGGAGGGAAGUGCUGUAACUCACUGGGCAGGGAACUUCUCCUUUUUCUGUGCAACAUGAAAAAAAAGCUAAGUGAGGCUGGUUUAUGAGUAUGGGUUGUACACCUCUAACUCAAAAAUCUGAAAUCUGAAAUGCCCCACUAAAUAUGAAGUUUUUCACUGGCCGAGAUGGUGCAAUAAUCAGAAAAUUCCACCCGUGACCUGUUUGUAAAGUCAAAUGUUGGAGACUAUUUGUGUACUGUGUGUAUGAGACAUACAUGGAGUUUGUAUUCAAACUUGGACCUUAUCUCCAAGAUGUGUCAUUAAAUAUAUUCAAAUAUUCUAAACCUGGAAAA